This 297-nucleotide ribosomal RNA is filed under the name uncultured bacterium. RNAcentral describes it as "partial 16S ribosomal RNA". It matches the Rfam family "Bacterial small subunit ribosomal RNA", at positions 28 to 334 of the family's 1533-position model. The record is from RNAcentral.
GAUGAACGCUGGCGGCGUGCCUAACACAUGCAAGUCGAGCGAUCUUCUUCGGAAGAGAGCGGCGGACGGGUGAGUAACGCGUGGGUAACCUGCCCUGUACACACGGAUAACAUACCGAAAGGUAUGCUAAUACGAGAUAAUAUGCUUUUAUCGCAUGGUAGAAGUAUCAAAGCUCUGGCGGUACAGGAUGGACCCGCGUCUGAUUAGCUAGUUGGUGAGGUAACGGCUCACCAAGGCGACGAUCAGUAGCCGACCUGAGAGGGUGAUCGGCCACAUUGGAACUGAGACACGGUCCAA